Molecule: non-coding RNA, 947 nt
Organism: Pantherophis guttatus
Lineage: Eukaryota; Metazoa; Chordata; Lepidosauria; Squamata; Colubridae
Source: RefSeq, a predicted model, not a curated record
CCGUUUCUCCUUCUCUCUCUCCCUUGCGACGCGCGCGCCCGCGCCCUCACACAUACACACGCGGAGCGAGAGGGAAAAGCUGGAUCGAAGAAAAGGGGAGGCUACGUUGGCGAUGAGGUCAUGGACAGCGCCUUGAAAUACUGCCGGUGGCUGCCCUGCCUUUACCGGCUGGCCCAAAAAAAAAAAAAGCGAGGAGGGAGCGGGGGCGUGGAAACGGAAAUUAAGAAUCCCACCCAUCCUACCCCCCCCGUAAAAUAAACGCCAGAGGGCCGUAUACGGUCCCGUAUAGCGACGUUUCUUCUCAACGAAUUGCAGAAGAUCAAAAUAAAAGAAUGGAUCACUCAAGUCUCCUGUUAGCACAGUGGUCAUCCAUGGAAGCAUCAAAUAAAUACAGUAUCUGUUCUUUUGAAGCAACAGGCAGGAAUCACAGGUAGCAAGUGAUACUUGGAUAUAUUUUUUUUAUAUUGGAAAAAUGCAAGAUCUGUCUUUUACACUGUCUCUGGAAAACAUCAGAAUAUAUGAUUUUUAAAAAAUGGGAACUAGCACCUUGGAAGAUGGAGGAAUAGCAAGAUUCUAUUGGGCUGGCUACCACAUUUUCUCUGACAGCCUUUAUUUUCAGAUCCUUAGAAAAGAUUCUUUUUUUCUCUAUCCUGUUCUCUGUGGCAAAGCUGAUGAGAACACAAAGAAGAAACAUUUUAAUGGCUGUUCCUGCCAAAAGAUAGAAACCUGGCUCCAUAUUUGAGGGCUUUCUGCCAGCAAGCAAGGACAUUUUAUGUCCAGACAAGUAGAGAAAUGUAAAAUAAAAAUAAAAAUAGGAUCAACCAUUAGAUGAUGCAAGCUUGUUGACUGCUUUAUCCUCAAAAGUUAUUGAUACAUUGAAAUGGAAAUUUUUAAUACAUUUGCUUUAAUGUAGAAAAAAUUCUUAUAAAUAAAUAGACGGGUAUUGC